GCGAUAAAGGAUUCCUAGUGGGUGCUACAGUCUCACCAAUACCAUGCAUCUCAUCUAACAGUUAUUGGUAAUAUGCACACCGAUGUGUAGGUAACUCUUUGCCUAGAUACUUCUCUAAGUAUAUUACAGCGACUUGAUCUCUAAGUAUGUGGACUCACCUAACAGUUAUUACUCACACUCCUUAGUUAAGCCCGACCCACCAUUCACAAGCAGGUACAAGACCAUCAUUGGAUCUCUCACCUGACAGUUAUUGGGCCUAACCUCAUUCUUACCUUGGAGCAACUCUUUGCUAAUAGAGUGGUUGCGUAUUCUCAAUACAACCGAACCACUCUGACUAGUCGAGAACAAUCAACGUCGAUAGCACACCCGCAUAUGUACAAUGAU
RNAcentral lists this long non-coding RNA (384 nucleotides) under Elaeis guineensis (African oil palm). RNAcentral's name for it is "long non-coding RNA (EGUI_LNC044234)". Lineage: Eukaryota; Viridiplantae; Streptophyta; Magnoliopsida; Arecales; Arecaceae. The record is from RNAcentral.